GUUUGAUUUUCUGUAGGAUGUAUGGAUAUGGUGACUAUUGGGUUAUGACAGUGAGUUCGAAACAAUAUUCAGAUUCAGAAAUAUUAAAAGUUAAAGAUUCAAAGACACAAAGUAACGAACGAGGAAAAUAACAACGUUUUGAAACACUGCUUGGAAGUCGGCAGAACAAUUUAUAAUUGCACCAAAAGAAUUCGUCAAGAGCCAGGUUUUCAUCACUGAGUGAGAUGGAGGCCUAUCAAGUCUGAAGAGCAAAAUCAGAAAUAUUAAAAGUUAAAGAUUCAAAGACACAAAGUAACAAACAAGGAAUAUAACAAUUGUUGGUAAGAAAAAGAAGAGAGGACCUGAAUAUUAAGUUUUCUAGAACACUGCUUGGAAGAGUCAUGCUUCAAACGGAAUCGACAUUGUUAAUAGUCUGGUGCAUCACUGAGUGAGAUGGAAGCUUAUAUAUAUAGUCCAAAGAGUAAAGAGCAAGAUUCCUCAAAUAUGGAACUUCACGACACUUUCUGUUUUUCAAAAAGAAAUGAAACUCAAUUAUUCAAAUAUGAAGAAGAGUUUUAUUAAAGAUAACUAAGAUGUGCUAUCCAACAAAUGCAUUGGGCCCACACACAAGACUUUGAUAUUGAAAAAUAGACUGUUGUUUGAGACUAUCCCAUUGUCAUAUGUACUUUAAGCUCGUAUGCAUGUGCACUGGUUACUAAUAUGUGGUCGCAAACAAAUGCAUGGGGGUGCACACGCAAAUGCAUUUUAUAUCAAAUAAGACUGUUGAUUAAAACUAUACCAAAAUGCCAUACAUACUGUAAAAGGAUUAAAUGCAGAAAUUUAAUAUGAGUCGACCCAUGAGGAACUAACUAUUUAUGUAAUUUGAAUUAUUGUAAACGGAUUCUUGAUUAUACAUUUAUUAAUGGAUUGAAUCAAAGCUCAGAAAACUAAAUAAGAUUGUUAUUUGUAUUCUAACACCCUGCAAUGCCAUUCUGUUUUUGAUGUCGUGGUAUGAAAAUUUUUAAAUACUCUCGUUUUACGUUAUUCUUACUUCAGAAUAUUUUUAUUACUGUUAAUGUAUAUUUUUACUGAAGCGUUUCUGUAAUAUGCUGUAUCAUUAUUUGCCUAUCUUUUUGUCAUAAUCAUUAUUUUCUAUUGUAUUUUUUAAAAUAUUUUCAACAGGGAAAACAAGAUAUUGUGACAGCGACAAAAGAAGAAAU
Non-coding RNA from Styela clava, 1199 nucleotides. NCBI's taxonomy places the organism in Eukaryota, Metazoa, Chordata, Ascidiacea, Stolidobranchia, Styelidae. The record is from RefSeq and is a predicted model, not a curated record.